CACCUGCCGGCGACCGGCGCACGGGUGAGUAACACGUAUGCAACCUGCCCGUAGCAGGGGGAUAAGCGGAAGAAAUUCCGUCUAAUACCGCGUAACAACCCGAGGAGGCAUCUCCUCGGGUUUAAAGGAAGCGAUUCCGGCUACGGAUGGUCAUGCGUCGCAUUAGCUAGUUGGCGGGGUAACGGCCCACCAAGGCGACGAUGCGUAGGGGUUCUGAGAGGAAGGUCCCCCACACUGGUACUGAGACACGGACCAGACUCCUACGGGAGGCAGCAG
RNAcentral lists this ribosomal RNA (276 nucleotides) under uncultured bacterium. Its description in RNAcentral is "partial 16S ribosomal RNA". It matches the Rfam family "Bacterial small subunit ribosomal RNA", at positions 81 to 354 of the family's 1533-position model. The record is from RNAcentral.